UAAGGGCGCACGGUGGAUGCCUUGGCACUAGAAGCCGAUGAAGGACGUUACUAACGACGAUAUGCUUUGGGGAGCUGUAAGUAAGCUUUGAUCCAGAGAUUUCCGAAUGGGGAAACCCAGCAUGAGUUAUGUCAUGUUAUCGAUAUGUGAAUACAUAGCAUAUCAGAAGGCACACCCGGAGAACUGAAACAUCUUAGUACCCGGAGGAAGAGAAAGAAAAUUCGAUUCCCUUAGUAGCGGCGAGCGAAACGGGAAGAGCCCAAACCAACAAGCUUGCUUGUUGGGGUUGUAGGACACUCUAUACGGAGUUACAAAGGACGACAUUAGACGAAUCAUCUGGAAAGAUGAAUCAAAGAAGGUAAUAAUCCUGUAGUCGAAAAUGUUGUCUCUCUUGAGUGGAUCCUGAGUACGACGGAGCACGUGAAAUUCCGUCGGAAUCUGGGAGGACCAUCUCCUAAGGCUAAAUACUCUCUAGUGACCGAUAGUGAACCAGUACCGUGAGGGAAAGGUGAAAAGCACCCCGGAAGGGGAGUGAAAUAGAACCUGAAACCGUGUGCUUACAAGUAGUCAGAGCCCGUUAAUGGGUGAUGGCGUGCCUUUUGUAGAAUGAACCGGCGAGUUACGAUUUGAUGCAAGGUUAAGCAGUAAAUGUGGAGCCGUAGCGAAAGCGAGUCUGAAUAGGGCGUUUAGUAUUUGGUCGUAGACCCGAAACCAGGUGAUCUACCCUUGGUCAGGUUGAAGUUCAGGUAACACUGAAUGGAGGACCGAACCGACUUACGUUGAAAAGUGAGCGGAUGAACUGAGGGUAGCGGAGAAAUUCCAAUCGAACCUGGAGAUAGCUGGUUCUCUCCGAAAUAGCUUUAGGGCUAGCCUCAAGUGAUGAUUAUUGGAGGUAGAGCACUGUUUGGACGAGGGGCCCCUCUCGGGUUACCGAAUUCAGACAAACUCCGAAUGCCAAUUAAUUUAACUUGGGAGUCAGAACAUGGGUGAUAAGGUCCGUGUUCGAAAGGGAAACAGCCCAGACCACCAGCUAAGGUCCCAAAAUAUAUGUUAAGUGGAAAAGGAUGUGGCGUUGCCCAGACAACUAGGAUGUUGGCUUAGAAGCAGCCAUCAUUUAAAGAGUGCGUAAUAGCUCACUAGUCGAGUGACACUGCGCCGAAAAUGUACCGGGGCUAAACAUAUUACCGAAGCUGUGGAUUGUCCUUUGGACAAUGGUAGGAGAGCGUUCUAAGGGCGUUGAAGCAUGAUCGUAAGGACAUGUGGAGCGCUUAGAAGUGAGAAUGCCGGUGUGAGUAGCGAAAGACGGGUGAGAAUCCCGUCCACCGAUUGACUAAGGUUUCCAGAGGAAGGCUCGUCCGCUCUGGGUUAGUCGGGUCCUAAGCUGAGGCCGACAGGCGUAGGCGAUGGAUAACAGGUUGAUAUUCCUGUACCACCUAUAAUCGUUUUAAUCGAUGGGGGGACGCAGUAGGAUAGGCGAAGCGUGCGAUUGGAUUGCACGUCUAAGCAGUAAGGCUGAGUAUUAGGCAAAUCCGGUACUCGUUAAGGCUGAGCUGUGAUGGGGAGAAGACAUUG
Molecule: ribosomal RNA, 1572 nt
Filed under: Staphylococcus aureus
Lineage: Bacteria; Bacillati; Bacillota; Bacilli; Caryophanales; Staphylococcaceae
Description: partial 23S ribosomal RNA
Rfam family: Bacterial large subunit ribosomal RNA
Source: RNAcentral